GCGCACUGGUGAGUAACACGUGGGAACGUACCUUUUGGUGGGGGACAACAUCUGGAAACGGAUGCUAAUACCGCAUAAGACCUGAGGGUGAAAGAUUUAUCGCCGAAAGAACGGCCCGCGGAAGAUUAGGCAGUUGGUGGGGUAAAGGCCUACCAAACCCACGAUCUAUAGCUGGUCUGAGAGGACGAUCAGCCACACUGGAACUGAGACACGGUCCAGACUCCUACGGGAGGCAGCAGUGAGGAAUAUUGGGCAAUGGAGGCAACUCUGACCCAGCCAUGCCGCGUGAGUGAAGAAGGUUUUCGGAUUGUAAAGCUCUUUCGGAUGUGACGAUGAUGACGGUAGCAUCUAAAGAAGCCCCGGCUAACUUCGUGCCAGCAGCCGCGGUAAUACGAAGGGGGCGAGCGUUGUUCGGAAUUACUGGGCGUAAAGGGUGUGUAGGCGGUUAUGUAAGAUAGCGGUGAAAUCCCGGGGCUUAACCUCGGAAUAGCCGUUAUAACUAUGUAGCUAGAGUUAUGGAGAGGAUAGCGGAAUACCCAGUGUAGAGGUGAAAUUCGUAGAUAUUGGGUAGAACACCGGUGGCGAAGGCGGCUAUCUGGCCAUAUACUGA
This 610-nucleotide ribosomal RNA is filed under the name uncultured Alphaproteobacteria bacterium. RNAcentral describes it as "bacterial SSU rRNA". It matches the Rfam family "Bacterial small subunit ribosomal RNA", at positions 98 to 743 of the family's 1533-position model. The record is from RNAcentral. Lineage: Bacteria; Pseudomonadati; Pseudomonadota; Alphaproteobacteria.